This 103-nucleotide small nuclear RNA is filed under the name Catagonus wagneri (Chacoan peccary). Lineage: Eukaryota; Metazoa; Chordata; Mammalia; Artiodactyla; Tayassuidae. The record is from RNAcentral.
GUGCUCACUUUGGCAGCACGUACACUAAAACUGUAACAAGAGCAGAUUGUCACAGCCCCUGUGCGAGGAUGACAUGCUAAUUCACGAAGCCGUCCAUAUUAAA